RNAcentral lists this small nuclear RNA (126 nucleotides) under Bemisia tabaci. Its description in RNAcentral is "U11 spliceosomal RNA". It matches the Rfam family "U11 spliceosomal RNA". Lineage: Eukaryota; Metazoa; Arthropoda; Insecta; Hemiptera; Aleyrodidae. The record is from RNAcentral.
AAAAAGGGUGCUUGCUUUAUGGCAUAUAGGGUUCUUGGACCUUGUAGAGUAUGGCCAUCUAGAUAUACUCAGCACAUAAUUUUUGAACUGAGAAGCUGUUAGAUGUUUUUGAAAUUUGGCGCUUCU